GCGGGCGUGGCGGAAUGGCAGACGCGCUGGAUUUAGGUUCCAGUGCCUAACGGCGUGAGAGUUCAAGUCUCUCCGUCCGCA
Molecule: transfer RNA, 81 nt
Filed under: Clostridiales bacterium
Lineage: Bacteria; Bacillati; Bacillota; Clostridia; Eubacteriales
Also listed under: 2 other names
Description: tRNA-Leu
Rfam family: tRNA
About the family: Transfer RNA (tRNA) molecules are approximately 80 nucleotides in length. Their secondary structure includes four short double-helical elements and three loops (D, anti-codon, and T loops).
Source: RNAcentral